Molecule: ribosomal RNA, 497 nt
Filed under: uncultured bacterium
Lineage: Bacteria
Description: partial 16S ribosomal RNA
Rfam family: Bacterial small subunit ribosomal RNA
Source: RNAcentral
GAUGAACGCUGGCGGCGUGCCUAAUACAUGCAAGUCGAGCGAACAGACGAGGAGCUUGCUCCUCUGACGUUAUCGGCGGACGGGUGAGUACCACGUGGUCAACCUACCUAUACGACUGGGAUAACUUCGGGAAACCGGAGCUAAUACCGGAUAAUAUAUUGAACCGCAUGGUUCAAUAGUUAAAGACGGUUUUUCUUUCACUAAUAGAUUAAUCCGCCCCGCAUUAGUUAGUUGGUAAGGUAACGGCUUACCAAGGCAACGAUGCGUAGCCGACCUGAACGGGUGAUCCGCCACACUGUCUCUGAGGCUCGGUACAGACUCUGACAGUGAGAAGCGGCAGGGACUCUUCCGGGAUGCGCGAGUGCGUGACGGAGCAACACCGCCUGAGUGAUGAAGGACUUCGGAUCGUAGAACGCUGUUAUUAUGGAGGUAGUAAAGCUUAAGUAACUAUGAUCAUCUUGACAGUACCGAGUCAGAAAGCCACGGCUAACUACGUG